UACGUAGGCAGCGAGCGUUGUUCGGAGUUACUGGGCGUAAAGGGUGUGUAGGCGGUUGUUUAAGUUUGGUGUGAAAUCUCCCGGCUCAACUGGGAGGGUGCGCCGAAUACUGAAUGACUUGGAGUGCGGGAGAGGAGAGUGGAAUUCCUGGUGUGGCGGUGAAAUGCGUAGAUAUCAGGAGGAACACCGGUGGUGUAGACGGCUCUCUGGACCGUAACUGACGCUGAGACACGAAAGCGUGGGUAGCAAACAGG
Molecule: ribosomal RNA, 254 nt
Filed under: uncultured bacterium
Lineage: Bacteria
Description: partial 16S ribosomal RNA
Rfam family: Bacterial small subunit ribosomal RNA
Source: RNAcentral